GAUGAACGCUGGCGGCGUGCCUAAUACAUGCAAGUCGAGCGAACGGACGAGAAGCUUUCUUCUCUGACGUUAGCGGCGGACGGGUGAGUAACACGUGGAUAACCCACCUAUAAGACUGGGAUAACUUCGGGAAACCGGAGCUAAUACCGGAUAAUAUUUUGAACCGCAUGGUUCAAAAGUUAAAGACGGUUUUGCUGUCACUUUUAGAUGGUGCCGUGCUGCAUUAGCUAGUUGGUAAGGUAACGGCUUACCAAGGCAACGAUGCAUAGCCGACCUGAGAGGGUGAUCGGCCACACUGGAACUGAGACACGGUCCAGACUCCUACGGGAGGCAGCAGUAGGGAAUCUUCCGCAAUGGGCGAAAGCCUGACGGAGCAACGCCGCGUGAGUGAUGAAGGUCUUCGGAUCGUAAAACUCUGUUAUUAGGGAAGAACAUAUGUGUAAGUAACUGUGCACAUCUUGACGGUACCUAAUCAGAAAGCCACGGCUAACUACGUG
RNAcentral lists this ribosomal RNA (497 nucleotides) under uncultured bacterium. RNAcentral describes it as "partial 16S ribosomal RNA". It matches the Rfam family "Bacterial small subunit ribosomal RNA", at positions 28 to 507 of the family's 1533-position model. The record is from RNAcentral.